GGAUUAGAUACCCUGGUAGUCCACGCCGUAAACGAUGUCUACUAGCCGUUGGGGAACUUGAUUCUUUAGUGGCGCAGCUAACGCACUAAGUAGACCGCCUGGGGAGUACGGUCGCAAGAUUAAAACUCAAAUGAAUUGACGGGGGCCCGCACAAGCGGUGGAGCAUGUGGUUUAAUUCGAUGCAACGCGAAGAACCUUACCAACUCUUGACAUCCAGAGAACUCGCUAGAGAUAGCUUGGUGCCUUCGGGAACUCUGAGACAGGUGCUGCAUGGCUGUCGUCAGCUCGUGUCG
This 293-nucleotide ribosomal RNA is filed under the name uncultured bacterium. RNAcentral describes it as "partial 16S ribosomal RNA". It matches the Rfam family "Bacterial small subunit ribosomal RNA", at positions 775 to 1067 of the family's 1533-position model. The record is from RNAcentral.